CACCAUUCGUUUCUUCCUACUCAGCUAUCGUCCGUAUAAGGUAAUUUCCCCACCCCAAAAUGUAAUUAAAUUUGGUUUUUUACUCCAAUCUGAUGAUUUUGUUUCAAGCUGGGUAUUAUUGUUUUUAUUUUGUUAGAAACCCUAGCUACUGAAAUUGAAGAGAUGGACCUGAUUUCGCAGCUUCCUGAAUCUAUUGUUCCUCGCAUACUCUGUUAUUGCCCUCCUGCAGAGCUUGUUCGAAUGAGUGUCUUGUCUAAGACAUGGUUUCGUCUAACUGCCUCUUUCCCCCUUUUAGAUUUCACUAUUUAUAAAUUUAAAUCUCGAAACAAUUUUUUCAAGUAUGUUGAGUAUACCACCUCUAGAUUUUGCAACCAAAAUCUCACUGCAUACACAUUAAGGCUCAUUACAGAUCUCAGGGAGCCUGCAGAAUUGGAUAUUGUUAACAGAUGCCUUGAAUUACUUCUUCAGAAUGGCGUGUAUGAUUUGGUGAUUAAUGUCGUUAACUUAUCAGAAUCCCCUUCUGCUUCUUCUGCUAAGUAUCGUUUGCCUAACAUACUCUUAUCUGUUUCUGCGUUAACAUCUUUGAUCAUACAUGGUUGUGACUUGCCUUCUUCCUUCAUGGUUGAUGCUCUCAAGUUUAAGUCUUUGACUCGGUUGAAACUCGAAAACAUCCAUAUAGAUGAUGAAGUGAUCACGUAUCUUACCACUAGUUGCCCUCUUCUCCAAAUACUUUGGGUCUUCUAUUGUCAUGGUCUCAAAACAUUUUGUGUUUAUGGGCAUCAUCAACAUCUUCGAAGUGUUUCGAUUAAGUAUAACACCCCAUUUGAGAAAAUAGAUAUUGAAGCUCCAAAUCUAUAUUUGAUGAAUGGACUUAUUCUAACAUAGAUGAUCCGUAUAGUUUACAUAUGAGAGACUACUUGCACAAGAAGAUCAAGGUCGUACCAAUAUUCAGAUCGUGUCGCCUUCUUUUUCUUCGUUGUUAAUGGCCUUACCUCAUGAAGGAAAAGCAAUUAGCUUCAUAAAGGAAGAAGUCCUCCAAAGGUUUGCGGGUUUAGAGAUUGUCUGAUGCGUUGGAUUUUGGAAUCUAUCGGUGGGGACAAGGGAGUGAAAGCUAUCGGUAAAAAAAUAGAGUUUAACAAAUUGCUGUUAACCGUUCGUAAAUAUUCUGCGUUUUGAUAUUUACAUAUGUAGGGAUGGUUUUGAAUCAUGACCAUGAUGUGUUGUUGACCAUUACUUUAUUACUGAUUGUUUAGAUAAUAUAUCUUUGGGCCGUAUUUGAUGCUUACUUUGGUGUUGGUGUUUUUGAUCUUUAACUUUAAGAUCAUCCUUUCAUUUCAUUGAUUUUGAAGAACAAAGUGGUUUUGUUAAGUGUAAUAUGUGCUCUCUUUGGGUCACAUAUUGAAAGGUUAAACGCCACAUCAUAAUCAUAUAUAAUGAGGAAAAUAAGUUGAAUGAGAUAUUAACACGUUUAUAAGAUUGAAAACGAAUUUGAGGAUGUGAUAUAGCAGCUGAUUCAUCUAGCUUUCAUAUCACUAAUUCUCAAAGGCCUUCUCAUGACUUUGUUCCCACGGUCCACAUAACUAUUAGACUGAUGGUUUCAAGCCUCAAUUUCUUUUCAUGACACAUUUUGAAAAAAAAUGCUCUCAAGGUGUUUUAAAUUUUUAGUACCAGGAAACAUAAGUAUCUUAGGCUAAUAGGAUCCCAUGAUGAAUAACAUAACUGUUAAUUACUUUAUGUGCUCUGUGAAAAGGAGUCACAACUUGGAUUUUAUUAUGCUUAUGGGAAUAAUUACAACCCAUUAUUGUUAUCGCCCGGCAUAUAUAUACGCAAGAAGAGUUAAGUUUCAUGCAGGUAGCACAAGGUUGAUGAUUAAGAAGAGUGGUUAUACACACACAUACAUUCAUUACCUAGCAAAAUUUUUCUACAAAAUUUAUUACAAGUUCAAUACUACUAACAUUUAUUAGUGGCAUUCAACCGGGGGGAUAGCAUGACGUAGUAUCACCGACAUCAAACGUGGCACAUAGUUGAUAUGGAACUUACCACAAGUGCUAGCUGACUUAGCUUCUUCCGAGUCAUGGAUGCAACUACGCAGUACACAUAUACUAUUAGUGUAAGAUUAAAUAUUUAAAUAUAUUAUGAUGUAAUAAUUAAUCUAGUAGCAAUUAUAAUCAUUUACAUUAUGUAGAUCAAAAUAUAUAACAACCUAUUAAAUAAUUAGUUGGUAAUUGUUGAUGGGCUUUAUUACCAUUAUUAACUAAUUAGGGUUUCCUCUUGGGUGCAUAUAUAAGGAAACUUAUGUAGAGGUUCUAAGGUUAACACACAUAACCUAAUUAUCAUAACAUCAAAUCGCCUCCUCUCCUCAACCGUUUACCCUUUAUCGGUUUUCAUCAUCACCAUCAUUAGAUUGCACCCUAAGGAGGAACCAGACCAAGCUGACAAUCAUGUCAAACACUAUUGUUGCGUCUUCAUCUGGAUUCUCUGCUGGCCUGUACUGCUGCAAUCAGGUAUGUUGUUCAUGUUUUCCAUUAUGCCUAAAACAGAACUGACCAACAAUUAGUAUAUUGCAUGGCUCGAUGCAGAAAGGGUUGGAUUUAUAAGAGUUGGUUUGGUCCUACUCAUAAACAGUUAACAAACAAUAUGAUACAAGUAAAUGUAAUCAAAAUUUACAUUCGAAUUUAGUUAAUUUAUAAAUCUACAUUGAUAUACUGAUCAUAUACUUCUCAAAUUUUAGUAUACGCCUGCAAUUUAACUUUCGUUUUAACGAUUGUUUUAAGUGUUAUAAAGAAAUUAUUUAUGAUGACUCUCCACGUUCUUAACUACCGUCUCUUCAUGUACUCUUGUAUUAAUAACAUGACCUAUAUAUAUAGGUCCUUUGUAUUUGAUAUGAUAUACUCAACAUCAAUAAGAAAUUUAUUCUCCCAUUCUCCCAUUUUUUCUAUACAUUGCUAAUAGAUUUCUAGUUAUUAUAUAACACGUUAUCAGCAUGAAUGCUUUUAAAGUUGGAUCAUGUUAUCGUAAGUCAAAGUGAUCUCACAUGAACAAGGAUCAAGGUAUGAUUCGAUUUCCUUUUCUUCUAAAAUGUUCUAUCAAUGCUAACUUAUUAGGUUUGGUAUUCAAAUCUGAAUAUGAGAUUGUGGAAGAUUACCUGGAACCAUAUUUUCUUGAAAGUUGUUACAUGUGAAUGUGGUACUGUGACAACCCGAAUUUUCAAGGUUAGCAUUGUCUUCGUGACAGACUUGUAUCGUUACUAUUCAUGUCCUAGUACUUAUAUUCUAUUACACGUCGUUAUAAUGAUCACAUCACAUAAACUUGUAAACUUGUUGAAUUAUAUUGAAUUACUGAUUUAAUAG
Helianthus annuus (common sunflower) is the source of this 3350-nucleotide long non-coding RNA. RefSeq lists it as uncharacterized. Lineage: Eukaryota; Viridiplantae; Streptophyta; Magnoliopsida; Asterales; Asteraceae. The transcript is spliced from 3 exons. The record is from RefSeq and is a predicted model, not a curated record.